RNAcentral lists this long non-coding RNA (414 nucleotides) under Theobroma cacao (cacao). RNAcentral's name for it is "long non-coding RNA (TCAC_LNC002227)". Lineage: Eukaryota; Viridiplantae; Streptophyta; Magnoliopsida; Malvales; Malvaceae. The record is from RNAcentral.
AUUAAGCAAGAGGUCAACACCACCAAGGACAAUUCCAAAAGCUCAAUCACCACCAUCUAAUCAUUCUCCUGUUGACUCUCCACUGUCAACUGAUCACUCUUCUCUCAGUCACGGCUUCUCUCCACCACAACCAACAUCUAAACUUUCUGAUCCCAACUUCAAGCCACCAUCUUUGGUAGUUUCGACGGUGGAGUUCACAUCUAGAGAUCAGUCAACUACUACCACUACUACUACUGUUGAAGUUGAAGAGCAAAGCCAAAAACUUGGUUCUGGUAGUGGUAAAAGAUUGAGGCCUGAUUUGUCCAUAUUAAGAAGAACCAAGAGAGAUAAGAUGGUGAAAAAGGCUUUGUUGGGGUUUAGGAUUUCUGGGUUUGUUUUUUGUUUGGUUUCCUUUUCUGUAUUAGCUGCGGAUAG